Molecule: long non-coding RNA, 585 nt
Filed under: Elaeis guineensis (African oil palm)
Lineage: Eukaryota; Viridiplantae; Streptophyta; Magnoliopsida; Arecales; Arecaceae
Description: long non-coding RNA (EGUI_LNC007291)
Source: RNAcentral
CGCCAUUCACGAGCUCAAUGCAGUCCGAGUCUAUUAAAUUUAAUAUAAGCUGGGUUAAUAAAGUGGGAGCAAGUUAGGCCACCAUUAGGGGGAUUAGGGAUAUAGGUCAAGGACAGUUUUCUCGCAACAAAGAUGGUUGUUUCCCUUACUUUUCUUGGUACUUACCAUGACCUUAAGCGCCACAAGAAGGAUUUAAAAUAAAUAGUGUUCAAGGGAUAGACAGCUCACGUACUCUAUUGUUGACGAGGGAAGGUUUGUAUGUAAUUAUUGUUGGAAAAGAGGAUAUGUCCGCCUGUGGUUUGGCCUUUGGAGUGUGAUCUGGGAUGCUCUACCUCCCUUUCAGGGGUUCCAAUGGGCCCCUACCAUUGUUUUGAAACAAAAUGCACAAGGUUUGAAGGGUCCUCGACAAAAAGAAUGAUUUGAAGUUGGUGGAACUUCCUACUUUUGGCUAAAAUCUAGGCGUGGACUGUGGGAUUAUUUUUUUCCCUCUCUGGUAGAAAGGCCCUGGGGAUUGGUUAAGGGUUAAAAGUAUCAUCUUUGACGGUAACAUGCUGCCGGGCUGUCGUCUGUUUUAAUUAGCACAAA